CCUACGGGAGGCUGCAGUCGAGAAUCAUUCACAAUGGGGGAAACCCUGAUGGUGCGACGCCGCGUGAGGGAAUGAAGAUCUUCGGAUUUUAAACCCCUGUCAUGUGGGAGCAAAUUAAAAUAAUAGUACCACCAGAGGCAGAUACGGCUAACUCUGUGCCCGCAGCCGCGGUAAUACAGAGGGCUCAAGCGUUGUUCGGAAUCACUAGGCGUAAAGCGUGCGUAGGCUGUUUCGUAAGUCGUGUGUGAAAGGCGCGGGCUCAACCCGCGGACGGCACAUGAUACUGGGAGACUAGAGUAAUGGAGGGGGAAGCGGAAUUCUCGGUGUAGCAGUGAAAUGCGUAGAUAUCGAGAGGAACACUAGUGGCGAAGGCGGGUUACUGGACAGUAACUGACGCUGAGGCACGAAGGCCAGGGGAGCGAAAGGGAUUAGAUACCCCAGUAGUC
Molecule: ribosomal RNA, 446 nt
Filed under: uncultured bacterium
Lineage: Bacteria
Description: partial 16S ribosomal RNA
Rfam family: Bacterial small subunit ribosomal RNA
Source: RNAcentral